AGAACGAACGCUGGCGGCAUGCCUAACACAUGCAAGUCGAACGAGACCUUCGGGUCUAGUGGCGCACGGGUGCGUAACGCGUGGGAAUCUGCCCUUAGGUACGGAAUAACAGUGAGAAAUUACUGCUAAUACCGUAUGAUGUCUUCGGACCAAAGAUUUAUCGCCUAGGGAUGAGCCCGCGUUGGAUUAGCUAGUUGGUGGGGUAAAGGCCUACCAAGGCGACGAUCCAUAGCUGGUCUGAGAGGAUGAUCAGCCACACUGGGACUGAGACACGGCCCAGACUCCUACGGGAGGCAGCAGUGGGGAAUAUUGGACAAUGGGCGAAAGCCUGAUCCAGCAAUGCCGCGUGAGUGAAGAAGGCCUUAGGGUUGUAAAGCUCUUUACCCGGGAAGAUAAUGACUGUACCGGGAGAAUAAGCCCGGCUAACUCCGCGCCAGCAGCCGC
This 444-nucleotide ribosomal RNA is filed under the name uncultured bacterium. Its description in RNAcentral is "SSU rRNA". It matches the Rfam family "Bacterial small subunit ribosomal RNA", at positions 26 to 518 of the family's 1533-position model. The record is from RNAcentral.